AGCGAACGUUAGCGGCGGGCCUAACACAUGCAAGUCGAGCGAGAAAGUGGCUUCGGCCAUCAGUAAAGCGGCGGACGGGUGAGUAACACGUAGGUAAUCUUCCCUUGAGCGGGGGACAACGUUUCGAAGGGAACGCUAAUACCGCAUACGUUUUCAGGGACUCUGGUCCUUGGAAGGAAAGCUAGGUCGGGCGUUAAACCCCGGUCCGGCACUCGAGGAGGAGCCUGCGUCGCAUCAGCUAGUUGGUGGGGAACGGCCUACCAAGGCGAAGACGCGUAGCUGGUCUGAGAGGAUGAUCAGCCACACUGGGACUGAGACACGGCCCAGACUCCUACGGGAGGCAGCAGUGGGGAAUAUUGGACAAUGGGCGCAAGCCUGAUCCAGCCACGCCGCGUGAGUGAUGAAGGCCUCGGU
This 414-nucleotide ribosomal RNA is filed under the name uncultured bacterium. Its description in RNAcentral is "bacterial SSU rRNA". It matches the Rfam family "Bacterial small subunit ribosomal RNA", at positions 29 to 423 of the family's 1533-position model. The record is from RNAcentral.